AAAUCGAAGAUCUCGUCUCUUUUGUCUCUGAAGUCCGUCCGUGGAGCAGAAUGAUCACCAGGAGAAGAGGCCGUGCCAUCAGCAGAGCAGAACGUGGAGUCUGUGGAAGUUGAGGUGGUGGAUGCUGUGGAAAGUGUCGAAGGACCUGCGAAUCCACCUGAAGAUUCCCUGCUGACGACAUCGAUACCACCGGCCUGGAUGAGCUCAACGACCUGUUUGGAAUUGAAGACCUGAAAUGGACAUUAGACAAAGAUUUCCUCGUCUCCACUCUUCAAUAUGGAGUUUGGCGAUCUUGAGGGGUACAGCAUGAGAGGGGAACGAGUCUGAGCUUGAAGCCUCUACAGCCUAGUCUUCCUGAGAGGAUUGUAUGCCUGAAUCUAAGCCGAAGACCAGACAGCGCCAGUCGAACCACGGGAUCAACAAGAAUGCCAUCGCUGCCAGAUUGAACCGUUGAAGAAGAAGGAAUACGUUAGCAAGCCUAGAGAGGAAAGUUGGCAGUCUGGUGACAGAAAACGGUGCUUUGAGCAGGAAAACUGUCAGCUGACCAAGAGAGUAGAGGAACUAGAAGAUGAGACCAGGCGCCCAGCUCCAACGACCAUGGACUAUGCCCUUCCCAGGAAGCGCGUGGAAAGUGGAGGAGAAAGAGAAAUCUGGUGGAGUGUGUCUGCACGUGGACAAGAACCACGUCUCUGUGGAGUUCUGCACUAAGUGUGCAGAGAGCGCGAGCACGUCGCUCAAAAUGUAGGGUCAAGUACUUCUCUCUGUUUUCAGAUCUUGACACUGAGCGUGGUUCAGCUCGGUGAGCUGAACGUUAGAGGACGGUAGACCCUGUUGAAUUAAGAUUACCUAAGAAGUGCAGGAUGUGCAUGUGUUCUGUUCUGAUGAUGGAUUCACUUCGUGUUACUGCUAAACUUUGUUGACAGUUUCUUCUAGGUAAAGAUUGAUCGUCCAUGUGGGAUGAGUGGCUUUCUGAACACCUUUACCUGCUUGACUUCAUGUGGAUUCUGCUGGUGGAAGGUGAAGAGGCUGGACAAGCUGCUGCCAUCGUGGCCUGGUAUUUUUUUAAAGGUAGUAUUGGUAACCAAUGGUAUAUGUGUCUUUUUUUUUUUCUUUUUUUUUUUUUUUCAACCAAUCCUCCACAGCACUGUAGCUGCACACGCUGUCAGCUCAUGAGCUUUUCUGAGACCUGAAUAUCCAUCAGAGCAAUGCUAAGAUCCUCUUUAUGUCUGGUGUAAAUAUUUGAAUGUAUCUUGCAUCUACUCAGAACGAUCUGCUGUAAGGAAUUUUCCAGUUCUGAUCAAAUGUAACGCCAUGUAAAUGUUGUAUAUAUCUAAUUUUGAACAGAUUGUUUGAGUUAAUCAGCCUUCUGAGAAGCGUUGGACAAAUAAAUCCUAUUUUCAUUAUGUUUGAGAUAAACGUA
Long non-coding RNA from Salarias fasciatus (jewelled blenny), 1420 nucleotides. RefSeq lists it as uncharacterized. NCBI's taxonomy places the organism in Eukaryota, Metazoa, Chordata, Actinopteri, Blenniiformes, Blenniidae. The transcript has 3 exons. The record is from RefSeq and is a predicted model, not a curated record.